UGAGAUGCCAUACACCUGGAAGAACAGGUUU
RNAcentral lists this non-coding RNA (31 nucleotides) under Homo sapiens (human). Lineage: Eukaryota; Metazoa; Chordata; Mammalia; Primates; Hominidae. The record is from RNAcentral.